UACAGAGGGUGCAAGCGUUAAUCGGAUUUACUGGGCGUAAAGGGCGCGUAGGCGGCGCAACAAGUCACUUGUGAAAUCUCCGGGCUUAACCCGGAGCGGCCAAGUGAUACUGUCGUGCUAGAGUGCGGAAGGGGCUACUGGAAUUCUCGGUGUAGCGGUGAAAUGCGUAGAUAUCGAGAGGAACACCUGCGGCGAAGGCGGGUAGCUGGGCCGACACUGACGCUGAGGCGCGAAAGCCAGGGGAGCGAACGGG
This 253-nucleotide ribosomal RNA is filed under the name uncultured bacterium. RNAcentral describes it as "partial 16S ribosomal RNA". It matches the Rfam family "Bacterial small subunit ribosomal RNA", at positions 524 to 776 of the family's 1533-position model. The record is from RNAcentral.